This 419-nucleotide unclassified non-coding RNA is filed under the name Hevea brasiliensis (rubber tree). Lineage: Eukaryota; Viridiplantae; Streptophyta; Magnoliopsida; Malpighiales; Euphorbiaceae. The record is from RNAcentral.
GAAAUCUUCACCAGUAGCCUCCACAUUGCCCUCAUAUUCGGCAUCCAUCUCAAGCAUUUUCAAGACCCUUCGAGCCAAGAGGAGUCCAGUGCAGUAUGCUGCAGCAUAGUUGGUGAGACCAACUUCAAGCCCAUAACGGGGUAGCUCAUGAGAAUAAGCCGAAGCAAGGACCAAAUCACCAGCAAUGCUAGCGGAAAUAAUUUGGGCUGUAAUAUCUUUGUUCGAAGUUCGGACAACAAAGCGAUACUUGGGAGUAUUGUAUUUGUUUUUGUCUUGAUUAAUAAGACGGAUUCUGGCCCGAUAGUCGGUCUUACCCUCUCUUCUUCUCUUGAACUUGACUUGAUAACGCUUGAAGUAGGCCUUUGUCUUCUGAGCUUUGGCAAAAGCCAUUGUAGAUUUGAAGCCGCGAGCGGAGGAGG